This is a long non-coding RNA of Lolium perenne, 533 nucleotides long. RefSeq lists it as uncharacterized. Lineage: Eukaryota; Viridiplantae; Streptophyta; Magnoliopsida; Poales; Poaceae. The record is from RefSeq and is a predicted model, not a curated record.
CGCUGCCCUGUGGCCUUUGCCAUUGCGGAUGCUGCUGUUGCUCGUGAUGGAGCUGCUGCUGUGAGCUGUGGUGCUCGACAUCGAUGGACGGCGCUGCAAGCGCAACCUCGGUGUCGAAUAGCUCGCCUACGCCAUGUAUUCCACUUGGAGAUAUUGUGAAGGAGCUGCAGAUGAUUCUGCUGGUGUGCUCAAGAUGUGGUGCGGCUGGGAUAAGUUGGGAUGUGCUAGAAGAGCUGGUAGGACAGCUGCUGGGCUAUUUAUAUACAGCUGAACUAUUCAUGUGCUCGUGACAACACAGAGGUUGCAUGUGUGUGUGAGCUGCUAGGUAGGUUGCUCCCUCUCCAUGUGCAGGUUGCAAACUUGACUUUGUUUGCCUCAUUUGCAAGGCACGGCUCAACCUUGUACUUAUCCCUUGUUGGAAAUUAUUUGAGAUACAACCAAGUGUAUAUCUCCUAUUGGUCCCCUGUGACUAAAUGGAUUCAAUUGAUGAGCUUAAAUAUUGAUAGCUCAAGUAUUAAUUAGACUUUGCUUAA